AAGCUGGAUUCGCUAGUAAUCGCGCAUCAGCCACGGCGCGGUGAAUACGUUCCCGGGCCUUGUACACACCGCCCGUCAAGCCAUGAAAGCCGGGGGUACCUGAAGUGCGUAACCGCAAGGAGCGCCCUAGGGUAAAACUGGUGAUUGGGGCUAAGUCGUAACAAGGUAUC
Molecule: ribosomal RNA, 170 nt
Filed under: uncultured bacterium
Lineage: Bacteria
Description: partial 16S ribosomal RNA
Rfam family: Bacterial small subunit ribosomal RNA
Source: RNAcentral